CAUAAAUAAAAAGAAAAUUUCUUCAAACAUUUUUUUGAGAGGAUUAAUAUCCAACAGCAUAGUGAAUUGCUCAAAGGCAAAAAAAUUUUUAAGUUCAUUAGACCACAUUCAUUCUGUGUCAGAAACCUAUGCUGUGUCAACUAUUUAAGCACAAUCCAAAUUUAGAGCUGAAUCCAGCUUAAAUGUUGUGUCCAUACUUGCCCCAUCUGUUCAGGGUUCAACCUCUGCGGUCGUAUAUAGCUGUGCCCUGCGGAGCAUCUGGUUGAAUAUUGUUAAAAUGGGGAAUAUGUCAAAGAGACCCAAACAACCUGACUAAAAGAGCAGAAAACAGCUGAAGGCCAUAAUGGGUCUUCAACACAGCAAGAAAAUCCCGCACCCAAAGGCAUGCUGUAGCUGGCCCCUAAAAAAGUGUGCUAGUUCAUAAUGGACGUCAUUUUAAACUCCAAAAUAUAUGAAAGUACUUAAAUUAAAAAUCAUACAAGACUAACAAAGGUCACAGGCUCAAAAAAAGCAGCAGAGUUACAUACUGUCUAGGUGUGCAUAUGGACAGAAAAUAAAUUAUGAUUCAAUAUUUUCUAGGAGUUAUUCCCCCUUUGAACUUCGAAUUUAGACCUGAUUGAUAAACUGGUGCAACUCCUCUGAAACCAUGCAACAGAAUUUCAUGUCUUCAAGAAUGUUUAGGAGUUCUAUGUCUUUAAAUCUGGUGAGAUUUUGUUUGCCCA
Molecule: long non-coding RNA, 722 nt
Filed under: Mytilus galloprovincialis (Mediterranean mussel)
Lineage: Eukaryota; Metazoa; Mollusca; Bivalvia; Mytilida; Mytilidae
Source: RNAcentral